AGUGAACGCUGGCGGUAGGCCUAACACAUGCAAGUCGAACGGCAGCACAGUAAGAGCUUGCUCUUACGGGUGGCGAGUGGCGGACGGGUGAGGAAUACAUCGGAAUCUACUUUUUCGUGGGGGAUAACGUAGGGAAACUUACGCUAAUACCGCAUACGACCUACGGGUGAAAGCAGGGGAUCUUCGGACCUUGCGCGAUUGAAUGAGCCGAUGUCGGAUUAGCUAGUUGGCGGGGUAAAGGCCCACCAAGGCGACGAUCCGUAGCUGGUCUGAGAGGAUGAUCAGGCACACUAGAACUGAAACACGGUCAUAAGUACUACAGGAAGCAGCAGUGGGGAAUAUUGGACAAUGGGCGCAAGCCUGAUCCAGCCAUACCGCGUGGGUGAAGAAGGCCUUCGGGUUGUAAAGACCUUUUGUUGGGAAAGAAAAGCAGCAGGUUAAUACCCCGCUGUUCUGACGGUACCCAAAGAAUAAGCACCGGCUAACUUCGUG
This 492-nucleotide ribosomal RNA is filed under the name uncultured bacterium. RNAcentral's name for it is "partial 16S ribosomal RNA". It matches the Rfam family "Bacterial small subunit ribosomal RNA", at positions 29 to 507 of the family's 1533-position model. The record is from RNAcentral.